Molecule: long non-coding RNA, 355 nt
Filed under: Bos taurus (domestic cattle)
Lineage: Eukaryota; Metazoa; Chordata; Mammalia; Artiodactyla; Bovidae
Description: long non-coding RNA NONBTAT015350
Source: RNAcentral
AUUGCUGUUAAUUCAAGGAAAAAAGGUUGCAUAAAAUCCAAUCUUUUCUAGAAAUAUAAGUGGCCUUUCCAGUACAUAACAUUUCAAAUAUCAAAGUAUAUGGUAAACAUACAAAUAAGGAGAAGGUAACAUACCUCCUAUAUACAGUACAGUCUUUUAAAUCAUAAAAUAAGCUCCAUAAAGUACAACUGGCAAGUGAUUCACAAUGCGGUCCAUACAGGGCUUAUCAAAACUCUCACUUCCAUAGCUCGAUUGCAGCUUAACAAUUAAUUUAAUAAUAUGGUCCAAAAAUACCCAAGCUUUACAGGAAGCUUCUUACUUCAAGUGUUUCCUUUUGUCUGGCAAUCUGUUAGGU